Molecule: ribosomal RNA, 450 nt
Filed under: uncultured bacterium
Lineage: Bacteria
Description: bacterial SSU rRNA
Rfam family: Bacterial small subunit ribosomal RNA
Source: RNAcentral
GGGCCCGCACAAGCAGCGGAGCGUGUGGUUUAAUUCGAUGCAACGCGAAGAACCUUACCAGGGCUUGACAUCCCGCGCUCAGCCCGCGAAAGCGGGCGCCCGCGAGGGGAGCGGGACAGGUGCUGCAUGGCUGUCGUCAGCUCGUGCCGUGAGGUGUUGGGUUAAGUCCCGCAACGAGCGCAACCCCCGGGCCUAGUUAGGUUCCUAGGCCGACUGCCGGGACCAACCCGGAGGAAGGUGGGGAUGACGUCAAGUCAGCACGGCCCUCACGUCCUGGGCCACACACACGCUACAAUGGCCGGUACAGCGGGCGGUGCGAAGCCGCGAGGCGGAGCGAAUCCCUGCAAAGCCGGCCCCAGUGCAGAUCGGGGGCUGCAACUCGCCCCCGUGAAGUCGGAGUUGCUAGUAACCGCGGGUCAGCACACCGCGGUGAAUACGUUCCCGGGCCUU